Molecule: long non-coding RNA, 680 nt
Filed under: Salmo salar (Atlantic salmon)
Lineage: Eukaryota; Metazoa; Chordata; Actinopteri; Salmoniformes; Salmonidae
Description: lncRNA (ENSSSAG00000104596.1)
Source: RNAcentral
CCACCACCUACUGGUACUAAACAUAGGUUACCGUUGUCAUUGAGAAGAAGUAAAAGAUAAACUAUAUAAUACACUGAUGAGUGACAUACAGAAUAAGGAAUCAAAGAAGAUCAAGAUGUAGAAUUUAAGAGAUUCAUGAAUGAAACCGGGGAUGCAGUAAAGAGGUUCUCUGACCAAUUAUCCGCCACCUCCCUCAUGACCUGGUAAAAUAGACUGACUCUCGAUAGGUUACGGGCAAAGAGGGCGGUAUAGGUAGAAUGAUUAAGUUCAUUACUGUACGUACAUUUGAUAACACAGCUCAUCUUUGGGAAAUGGAAAAGUGUUGCAAGAACUGUAUUAUGGGCUGCUUUCACCUGUAUGAGUGUCUUUGGGUUGUGUGGUUGUUGUUUGGUCCCGUGUGCGAGAGGUUUAAUCACCAGAACUCUAGAGAGAUGGAUAACGGAGCAGAUGGUGAGCUACGGACCGAGUCAAAGUUCAGACCAAUGAGACAAGUACCUACCGCCGAGCAAGAAGUUGUCAGAGCAACCGGAAUGAUGCCUUUGAUGGAAUUGACCCCGGAGAACACUAAAUCCAGCUCUGGGCCAAAGAUGGAUCUGUCUGAGGACGAUCCUUGUUUUGCUGUUGAGGAAGUGGUUGAAUAAAGCGUAUGCACAAUAAAUUCAUAUGUAUUGAAUGUAGUG